UACAGAGGUCUCAAGCGUUGUUCGGAUUCACUGGGCGUAAAGGGUGCGUAGGCGGCGCUGUAAGUCGGGUGUGAAAUUUCGGAGCUUAACUCCGAAACUGCAUUCGAUACUGCGGUGCUUGAGGACUGGAGAGGAGACUGGAAUUCAUGGUGUAGCAGUGAAAUGCGUAGAGAUCAUGAGGAAGACCAGUGGCGAAGGCGGGUCUCUGGACAGUUCCUGACACUGAGGCACGAAGGCCAGGGGAGCAAACGGG
This 253-nucleotide ribosomal RNA is filed under the name uncultured bacterium. RNAcentral's name for it is "partial 16S ribosomal RNA". It matches the Rfam family "Bacterial small subunit ribosomal RNA", at positions 524 to 776 of the family's 1533-position model. The record is from RNAcentral.